Molecule: ribosomal RNA, 460 nt
Filed under: uncultured bacterium
Lineage: Bacteria
Description: partial 16S ribosomal RNA
Rfam family: Bacterial small subunit ribosomal RNA
Source: RNAcentral
CCUACGGGCGGCAGCAGUGAGGAAUAUUGGUCAAUGGCCGGAAGGCUGAACCAGCCAUGCCGCGUGAAGGUCAGUGCCCUAUGGGCGUUAAACUUCUUUUGUGCGGGAGCAAUAAUGGUCACGUGUGGCCAGACGAGAGUACCGUACGAAUAAGCAUCGGCUAACUCCGGGCCAGCGGCCGCGGUAAUACGGGGGAUGCAAGCGUUAUCCGGAUUUAUUGGGUUUAAAGGGUGCGUAGGCGGUGAGGUAAGUCAGCGGUGUAAUGCCCCCGCUCAACGGGGUGAAGUGCCAUUGAUACUGCCGUGCUGGAAUGCGGAUGCGGUGUGAGGAAUGUGUGGUGUAGCGGUGAAAUGCAUAGAUAUCACACAGAACACCGAUUGCGAAGGCAUCUCACGAAUCCGCGAUUGACGCUGAUGCACGAAAGCGUGGGUAUCAAACAGGAUUAGAUACCCCUGUAGUC